AUUGAACGCUGGCGGCAGGCCUAACACAUGCCAGUCGAGCGGAUGAAGGGAGCUUGCUCCUGGAUUCAGCGGCGGACGGGUGAGUAAUGCCUAGGAAUCUGCCUGGUAGUGGGGGAUAACGUCCGGAAACGGGCGCUAAUACCGCAUACGUCCUGAGGGAGAAAGUGGGGGAUCUUCGGACUUCACGCUAUCAGAUGAGCCUAGGUCGGAUUAGCUAGUUGGUGGGGUAAAGGCCUACCAAGGCGACGAUCCGUAACUGGUCUGAGAGGAUGAUCAGUCACACUGGAACUGAGACACGGUCCAGACUCCUACGGGAGGCAGCAGUGGGGAAUAUUGGACAAUGGGCGAAAGCCUGAUCCAGCCAUGCCGCGUGUGUGAAGAAGGUCUUCGGAUUGUAAAGCACUUUAAGUUGGGAGGAAGGGCAGUAAGUUAAUACCUUGCUGUUUUGACGUUACCAACAGAAUAAGCACCGGCUAACUUCGUG
This 484-nucleotide ribosomal RNA is filed under the name uncultured bacterium. Its description in RNAcentral is "partial 16S ribosomal RNA". It matches the Rfam family "Bacterial small subunit ribosomal RNA", at positions 30 to 507 of the family's 1533-position model. The record is from RNAcentral.